CUCACCCUCCUCCAACUGAUCUCUGCUCGCUCCACUGGUACGUAAAACGAUUACACCCUCACUUCCUUCUCACACAUAUAUAUAUCUAUACAUUUAUACAUAUACUUAUAUAUAUAUAUAUAUAUAUAUCACAAAUCGAUCACAGAUCACGUGUUUCCAAACCGUACCAAGCUUCGCCGAAUUCAUGCUUUUUGUAGUCUUAAUUUUUUUUUUCAAUAGAAUUAUAUUUCUGUUUGAUAGCUGGUAAGAACUCUUCUGCAUCUGUGCAAUGAGAAGAGGAAACCAAGAGAUUUCGAAUUUUAUAUAUAUUUGUGUGUAUGUAUUUGUGGUGUAUUUGGAAUUGUUAAUGGUGUAAUUUCAACUUAGCUAAGUCUUACAGUCGUCUCUGGUUAACUUUGAUUUUGCAUGUUUAUGAUUUUGAGUUCCGGCAUGCCGAUUCUGUGAGAUUUAUUGAAGUUUCCUAUCCUUUUUAACAUUGGUUUCAAUUUCCCUUCAUAUGUUCAUUCACCUACUCUUGAUUUUAUUUCGAUUUUUGUUGUAUGAUUAUGUUUCUAUAACGAGGUAUAUCGAUAAAUGUUUCGUUUGAUUCGUAGGCAGAGGCACUUUUCGCUAUGCAAUAUUUCUGGUGGAUCUGUAUUUCAUAAUACGUUUAGGAUAUUGAAUUUUGUAGGUUUUCACUUUUUUUAUUAUUUCCUAUCUUUUAUGGUAGAUUUUUCUUCAGAUUUCAUGCUAUUCUUCGUUGUUUAAUCUAUGGAUCUUUAGGUGGUUGUUUAUGUGGUGAAAUAAUUAAGGUAUUCGAAUUUCUUUUGUUAGCUGGAAGUUCUAAUUCUUUUUUGCGUUACUAAGUUCGGUACAAGAACACAUGUAAUAUAAUUGUGGCUUCUUUGAUAAUAUGGUCAAGAAUUAUUCUGUUCUGUAAACAAUGAUGUCCAUUGAUGUUGUUACUUAUGUUUCUUGAUAACUGCACAUUGUCGGACUUAUUAGACACGUCAACUUGUUUUGAAAUAAAUCUAUUUAGCUGUAAUGUGGAUGAAAUAGGAUGCUUUUGUGCCCUGAGCUUGUUUUCAAUUGCUGCAUCCACUUUAGAUGCGGCAUAUUUGUGCCUCAACCCAGUUCAACUGAAUGCCACUUAGUCAUUAGAUGUUUACCUUGUUUUUAUUUGUCCUAUAUUUUGUACAGAGACACGCGGUGCUCUGGUGGAUUUGAAGUUUGUGUGUGUAUAGAUGUCAAUUGCUAAACCUACGACCUCAAACUCUCUGUUUGCUAUGAAAUCAAAGGAGGAAAAUGAUUCCCUUGACACUAUCAUCAAACAAGCUGCAAAAGAGCCAUCUAUUUCUUUCUCAAGGGCUGGGGAUAGCCCAGUCCCGUGGAUUCAGCUACUUCAUGCCUUAGACCAACAAGGUACUAGAAACUAUUUCGUAUAAUCACAACUUUAUUUGAUUAUAGAAGUAGUGCACCAUUAGAUUGAGAUUUGUGCCAUACCUAAUGGGGAGUAUCCUGCAUUCGGUUUGCCUUUCUCAAUCCACUGCUAAGGCCAAUGGCUGUUUUAAUAUACAUAUUAUGCCAUAAGAAGGUAAUUUGUUUCUAAGUGUUUGAUGAUACACGUUACUCUGGCAGAACUUCCAGGUUGGCCCCUGCACUCUCCUAUUAAAGUGCAGAUGCAAAAGUGUGACAAGUGCCCUCGAGAGUUUUGCUCAUCCAUCAACUACAGAAGACACAUACGUGUGCAUCACCGAUUGAAAAAGCUUGAUAAGGUAUCCCUUCUAUUUUUAACUGUUGUAAAUUUGUCUAUAUUGUUUUUCUGUGAGUUGCGAUCUUUUGCCGCCCAUUGUGUUCAUAAUGCUUAUUUUGUUUACAUCUUGUAGGAUUCUUCUAAAAAUAGGGAGCUUCUAGGUGAAUUUUGGGAUAAGGUAUUUAUUCUUUGAAUACAGUAAUGCUACCUUCUUCUUAGUGUAUGUUCUCACCCUUCCAUGAUUUGGUCUUUGUCCAGCUCUCGCCAGAAGAGGCAACAGAAGCUAUAUCAUUCAAGAAUGUGACUUUAGAGGUAUUUUCUGUUACUUGCCUUAGUUUUUAUGUCAUGCAUCAUAAGUUAUAAUCAUGUUCCGUGGUAUGGUAUUAAGUGACAUUUUUUUCCCUCGUGCUUAGAUUCAUCAAACAUAAACUAGGGUAGGAUAGUAAAUGUGUUUUUGUCCUCACAGAUCGUAGUUUUGAAUUACCAUGAUUUUUUCUUCGCCCCUUCCUCCAGUUAAUUUCUAGUGGGCUUCAUUUGUUUCAAAGUCACUAUAUUAUUUGUGCUGGUGUCAUCUUUAUUUAGCUUCUACAUUUUAUUUCUUAAAUUGUUAAUUAAGUGCAAUCAUGUGAAAGAAACAGUGUUUAAGGGAGAGUUCCUAAUUUAAUAUAUUUUCUAGGAAGUUCCAGGGUCUUCAAUUAUAAAGGCAUUGACAACACUUAUACGGAAACCAGGAUUUUCUCCUUUCCCCCACAUUUAUUUGAAGGCCGGUUCAGCCCUUCUGGUAAGACAUUAUUCUUUUUCUUGUGUAUGAGUAUUUAUUGUAAUGAACUGCCACAUUGCCUGUUAUAUGGAUGUGAUAUUGUGAUUCUUUUCCUUUUAUCCAGGAUAUUUUUCAAGCUAGACCUUCCAGGUUUCCCAUAUCUUCCCAGGAGUUAUUUUCUAUCCUCGAUGAUGCAAGUGAAAAGACAUUUCUGUCUGGGACAGCCAUAUCAAUGCAAAGAUAUAUUUUUGAUGGGGAGGCUGGGAAAAUUGGCCUUGAAUCAAAAAACUUAGUUGCUUGUACAAGCUUCCUGGUGGAACAGAAAUUGGUAACUUUCUUGCUUCCUUUCCAUUUUUAAAUAUAGUUGAUUUUACUAUGUUUAUUGCGUUUCAGCCUGUGGUGAUUUUUUGCUCAGUUGAAAGCCUGGCAUGCUGACAAGGAUACGGAAGCUUUGAGGUUACAGAAGUUGCUAGUGGAGGAAGAAGAAGCUGCUCAAAGAAGGUACAAACAAGCAUUUCUAUUUGAUUUUCGGCACAAUUCUGUUUUUUAAUUGUGUUGGUGGGAAGAUUUUCAGUGCCUUUACCUUUUUCUUAAAAAAGUCACCUCUUUAAACUCGGCACUAUAUAGAGUAUAGGCCAGCAUGACUGAUUAAGCUGUUCCCUAUUGUUUUUUAUCAGUUGCAUAAUCUGUUUGGUCUUAUUUUCUGAAUAACUGUAGGCAAACAGAGCUGUUGGAAAGGAAAAGGCAGAAGAAGCUUAGGCAGAAAGAACUGAAGGAAAAGGAUCAGAGACAUGGGGAGAAGGUCGAUGUUACGGAGAACAUUGAUGAAACUCUGGAGGCUGUGCCACUCGUAGAAACAUCUAGUCCUUCAGCAACAUUUGAUUCUGACACGGCCAGUUCGGAUAUGCUGGAUCAUGCCUGCUUAUCUCUUGAAUCAUUCCAACUCUCAAACAUGGAUGUAAGUGCGGAUCCCGAAUCUCAGACUGGAGUUAACUUUGGACAUGUUGAUUCGGUGAGUGGACCAAAUGUUGAACGGCCGGUGGUGCAAGGAAAUGGUAGUCGGCGUGCAGUUGCUCAAUGGCAGUUGUCUCCAAAAUCGCAGCGGGGUGUGCCCAAUGGAUUUCAUGGAGGUCAUAGUUCUCAAACAUUGAAGCAUUCAUCCACAAAACACCAUGGUAACCACAGGGAUGCAAGGGCUGCUUCCAGUGGCAAUAGAGUAUGGAGUCGAAAGCCUAAACCAGAAUAUGAUGGGAGGAGUUUGAAAGCUGGAGAACAGAAAGAAGCAUCUGAACCAGAUCAAAUCAAGAACCGUGAGGUUUUGAUUGGUUCUAUACCAGUCAAUCUUGGAAAUUGUUGCCAGGAAAGUAAUAAUCAGGCUGGUGUUCACGAUGAUUGUCUUUCAGAGAAGGGUCAAAUGCCAAAGGACAAUUCUCAGGAUAAAACCAAUAAACCUGAUCUGGUACAGAGUGGCACAAACCGGUCAACAGUGAAGCUUUGGAGGCCAGUGAGCCGGAAUGGAACAAAAGGUCCUAUGCCAAUUCAGAACGGCAGCAAAGAAUCUGACAUAAAUGUGGUAGCUGAAAAGGGCAACAGCCAAAACCCUUACAGUGAAAAUUGUGAAGGAUCGUGUGUUGUGGAUGGCCAUAAUGUUGGAAACGGGAAUGACUCAACUCACCCCGAUGAAACUGGAAGGCUGGGCUUCUCUAGCCAUGCGGCAAAAGAUUUUCUUGCACAGAGUGAGUUCAGCUCCAUUAUUAUAUCUUGUUCUAUUUUAUCUUUUGUACAAGCAGCUCCCCAUGGAAGUUAAUUAAAAAUACAAUACAAUAAAUACACGUCUUGUUUGUGCAGGAUGGAAGGAUGCUAUUGCCGCAGAUCAUGUGGAAUUGGUUCUAUUCCAAGACUCUGAACCUCCCAGAUGCCCGGAAAAUCAAAAUGACCGAGAAGUAGCAGCGACUCAUCCAUCGAGGUUUAAACGCAGCAUUCUUGGCAAUGCAGAAAACCGGCUUGUAAAUGGAGAGGCAUUUGAUUUGCCAACUGCUGGAGCUGCUAAAGUCAGGCGCAGGACGAAGCAUGAUAAGGGUGUGAAGAUCAAGUACAUUCCGAAACCUAGUGCAGUUGCCUAGUAAUCGAGGGUAAAGAGAUGGUUUUUCUUUUCUUUUUUCGGGGUUAUACAACGUGCACAGUUUAGCCAGUGAUUAUAUUCGUAGCAGCAGAGGGGUCCAGUUUUUACCAGCGGUCUUCUGUCGGAAAAUCGAAGAACAAGUUUUGGAAGAUAAGUUUUUUUUUUUUUUUUUUUUUUUUUACUUUUGUUAUAGUUCCGUCCUUUUUUCUUUGUCAUAGCAGAUUGAUUAGUGAGAUUUUUCUUCCCUUUAUAAAAAAUUUGUGUAAUAAAUUUGGUUUUGUGGUUUGAGCCGUCCUUUCCUAUUUUCGUUGUCAUGCGUUUUUCGUACCGUCUCGAUGGCGUCGUGGAUGAGACCGACGGACCAAACGAGUCGGUUUCUGGACAGGCAUUUUGUUUAUGAAGGUGCAUUUGUGAUGUCAUUUCGGGUCACAGCAUUUGAAGUUGAAAUUGAGAAAGGUGUAUUAUACAAGAAUUUUGAUCAAAUUGGAAUAUAUUUUCGCUUAUGUUUUUUUUAUUUUUAUCAAAUUCGAUUGUGUAGACUUCCCAAUCGAAUGUAUUCCUCUAUUAAUGGGCUAGCACAUGAGUUAUCUGUACUGACUAUUUAUUGCACGACUCGUUAACUCAUAUGAAACGAAACGAAAAUUACAAGUUUCGGAUUAAUUUGUUCACUCAUUGGAUCGUUAUCAGUCAUUCAUUAAGAAUUUGUUAAUGAGUUGUGUCGUUAUCAGAUUACAUCAAACAUGAUGAUUUGUUGCAUCCACACGUUAAAAUGAUAUGGUCCAUUAACGAAUCGCGUCACAUGUUACAAAUCUAUUAAGAUAACGGAUUUGAUAUAACAUGACUCAUCAAAAUGAUACAAUUCAUUAACGAAUCAGGUCGCUAUCAAGUUACAUGUUAAGAAUUUGUUAAGAUAAUGAGUUUAACAUAAUAUGAUUCGUUAAGAUAACGGAUAUAACAACUCUACGGUCUCUUCUUACACACAUUUAUAUGUAACAAGUCCAAUCUAAAAAUUCGAUAACAAUCCAAGAAGCAAGCGGUUUGUCUACUUAUCAGUUAUUAUUACACGUAUACAAAUCAAAUCCCUACUCAACUGCCACGUGUCCAUUUUCGUCUCAGCUUUCUAUGCCCAAAUCCACCAUCCUCUCUCUCCCCUACUUAACUUCGAUCGAGCUCUUAGUUUGCUUCCGGUAAAUUCCACGUAACCAAGAGAAAACGGCUGAUCCCACAGACCUCAACCACCCAGAAGAACGAGAACAUGUAUACAAGCAACAAAACGACGACGUCCCCGCAAGCUCCCUGAAGUACCUCAACCCCAAAAGGGGCCAAACCAUGGAGACCGCCAGCAGGGCGAACCGCAUCUCCUUUUGGCAGCUCAACGCCCUCAUCGUCAUGGUGGUCCUCGCCGCCAGAGGCUUGGUCAGCCCUCUAGACCUUGCCUUUCCCGCCUCAAUCCGACUACCCUUCAAAAGACCCGCCGGUCUUCAACGCCGAGGGCAUAAUGGUCAAAACCGGCCGGGCUUUCGGCGCCGUGUUGGGCCUCGCCCUGCCGAUAGCGUAUAUAUUUCAAGGGUUUUUGGAAGGAGACCAAGAAGGCAUCAAAGCGGCUGUCCCGCACGUGUUUUUACUCACUAGUCAAGCUUUUAUGGACUGAGUGGCGUUUUCCGAUAGGUUUUCGACGCCGAUUAGGGUUUUGGCGCCGGUUUUCUUUAACGCAAAGAGGAUUUUCACGCUUAUGGAUUGGGUUAGGAACGAAUUCUCCAAAGUGUGUGUUGGUGGUGGUUGUGACGCAGCUGCAGAAAGAAGAGUGCUUCUUGGGAGAGGACUUGCUGUUGCUAACUUGGUGUUUUGGAGUUUAGAUCUUUUUUGUUUUAUGUUACCUAUUUAUCUUCCUAGAGCUUUCAAGAAAUAUUACUCAUCUGCGAAAACAGAUUGAGUAGACACUGUUAAAAUAAUUUUCGGAUUUUAGCUUUCAUUUUGCGUAUUGUUUUCUUGUAUAUGUAUUCUGUUGAAUUUCACG
Molecule: long non-coding RNA, 6631 nt
Filed under: Malus domestica (apple)
Lineage: Eukaryota; Viridiplantae; Streptophyta; Magnoliopsida; Rosales; Rosaceae
Description: long non-coding RNA (MDOM_LNC007164)
Source: RNAcentral